Molecule: ribosomal RNA, 301 nt
Filed under: uncultured bacterium
Lineage: Bacteria
Description: partial 16S ribosomal RNA
Rfam family: Bacterial small subunit ribosomal RNA
Source: RNAcentral
CAGUAGCCGCGGGAAUACGUAGGGUGCAAGCGUUAAUCGGAAUUACUGGGCGUAAAGCGUGCGCAGUCGGUUAUAUAAGACAGAUGUGAAAUCCCCGUGCUCAACCUGGGAACUGCAUUUGUGACUGUAUAGCUAGAGUACGGCAGAGGGGGAUGGAAUUCCGCGUGUAGCAGUGAAAUGCGUAGAUAUGCGGAGGAACACCGAUGGCGAAGGCAAUCCCCUGGGCCUGUACUGACGCUCAUGCACGAAAGCGUGGGGAGCAAACAGGAUUAGAUACCCCUGUAGUCCCUGUCUCUUAUAC